AGCGGCGGACGGGUGAGUAACACGUGGGUAACCUGCCCAAGAGACUGGGAUAACACCUGGAAACAGAUGCUAAUACCGGAUAACAACACUAGACGCAUGUCUAGAGUUUGAAAGAUGGUUCUGCUAUCACUCUUGGAUGGACCUGCGGUGCAUUAGCUAGUUGGUAAGGUAACGGCUUACCAAGGCAAUGAUGCAUAGCCGAGUUGAGAGACUGAUCGGCCACAUUGGGACUGAGACACGGCCCAAACUCCUACGGGAGGCGGCAGUAGGGAAUCUUCCACAAUGGACGAAAGUCUGAUGGAGCAACGCCGCGUGAGUGAAGAAGGGUUUCGGCUCGUAAAGCUCUGUUGGUAGUGAAGAAAGAUAGAGGUAGUAACUGGCCUUUAUUUGACGGUAAUUACUUAGAAAGUCACGGCUAACUACGUGCCAGCAGCCGCGGUAAUACGUAGGUGGCAAGCGUUGUCCGGAUUUAUUGGGCGUAAAGCGAGUGCAGGCGGUUCAAUAAGUCUGAUGUGAAAGCCUUCGGCUCAACCGGAGAAUUGCAUCAGAAACUGUUGAACUUGAGUGCAGAAGAGGAGAGUGGAACUCCAUGUGUAGCGGUGGAAUGCGUAGAUAUAUGGAAGAACACCAGUGGCGAAGGCGGCUCUCUGGUCUGCAACUGACGCUGAGGCUCGAAAGCAUGGGUAGCGAACGGGAUUAGAUACCCUGGUAGUCCAUGCCGUAAACGAUGAGUGCUAAGUGU
This 742-nucleotide ribosomal RNA is filed under the name uncultured bacterium. Its description in RNAcentral is "bacterial SSU rRNA". It matches the Rfam family "Bacterial small subunit ribosomal RNA", at positions 94 to 823 of the family's 1533-position model. The record is from RNAcentral.